CAAAUUACACCUAAGGGGUAAUGUUGUUUACAACAAUAUUUAGGAUUGUGCAAUUCAGUCUAAUUUGA
RNAcentral lists this transfer RNA (68 nucleotides) under unidentified. RNAcentral's name for it is "Bochrus foveatus tRNA-Val". The record is from RNAcentral.